GCGGCAGGCCUAACACAUGCAAGUCGAGCGGUAGAGAGAAGCUUGCUUCUCUUGAGAGCGGCGGACGGGUGAGUAAUGCCUAGGAAUCUGCCUGGUAGUGGGGGAUAACGUUCGGAAACGGACGCUAAUACCGCAUACGUCCUACGGGAGAAAGCAGGGGACCUUCGGGCCUUGCGCUAUCAGAUGAGCCUAGGUCGGAUUAGCUAGUUGGUGAGGUAAUGGCUCACCAAGGCGACGAUCCGUAACUGGUAUGAGAGGAUGAUCAGUCACACUGGAACUGAGACACGGUCCAGACUCCUACGGGAGGCAGCAGUGGGGAAUAUUGGACAAUGGGCGAAAGCCUGAUCCAGCCAUGCCGCGUGUGUGAAGAAGGUCUUCGGAUUGUAAAGCACUUUAAGUUGGGAGGAAGGGUUGUAGAUUAAUACUCUGCAAUUUUGACGUUACCGACAGAAUAAGCACCGGCUAACUCUGUGCCAGCAGCCGCGGUAAUACAGAGGGUGCAAGCGUUAAUCGGAAUUACUGGGCGUAAAGCGCGCGUAGGUGGUUUGUUAAGUUGGAUGUGAAAUCCCCGGGCUCAACCUGGGAACUGCAUUCAAAACUGACUGACUAGAGUAUGGUAGAGGGUGGUGGAAUUUCCUGUGUAGCGGUGAAAUGCGUAGAUAUAGGAAGGAACACCAGUGGCGAAGGCGACCACCUGGACUAAUACUGACACUGAGGUGCGAAAGCGU
RNAcentral lists this ribosomal RNA (728 nucleotides) under uncultured bacterium. Its description in RNAcentral is "bacterial SSU rRNA". It matches the Rfam family "Bacterial small subunit ribosomal RNA", at positions 39 to 762 of the family's 1533-position model. The record is from RNAcentral.